This 450-nucleotide ribosomal RNA is filed under the name uncultured Glomeromycotina. RNAcentral's name for it is "SSU rRNA". It matches the Rfam family "Eukaryotic small subunit ribosomal RNA", at positions 569 to 1026 of the family's 1831-position model. The record is from RNAcentral. Lineage: Eukaryota; Fungi; Glomeromycota.
AGCAGCCGCGGUAAUUCCAGCUCCAAUAGCGUAUAUUAAAGUUGUUGCAGUUAAAAAGCUCGUAGUUGAAUUUCGGGACCAUCAUGUCGGUCGUGCCUCGGUACGUACUGGCAUUGUUGGUUUCUCCCUUCUGACGAACCAUGAUGUCAUUUAUUUGGUGUCGUGGGAAAUCAGGACUGUUACUUUGAAAAAAUUAGAGUGUUUAAAGCAGGCUUUAGCUUGAAUACAUUAGCAUGGAAUAAUGAAAUAGGACGUUCGAACCUAUUUUGUUGGUUUCUAGGAUCAACGUAAUGAUUAAUAGGGAUAGUUGGGGGCAUUAGUAUUCAAUUGUCAGAGGUGAAAUUCUUGGAUUUAUUGAAGACUAACUACUGCGAAAGCAUUUGCCAAGGAUGUUUUCAUUAAUCAAGAACGAAGUUAGGGAUCGAAGACGAUCAGAUACCGUCGUAGUCU